This 163-nucleotide small nuclear RNA is filed under the name Chinchilla lanigera (long-tailed chinchilla). RNAcentral describes it as "U1 spliceosomal RNA (ENSCLAG00000018611.1)". It matches the Rfam family "U1 spliceosomal RNA". Rfam says of the family: U1 is a small nuclear RNA (snRNA) component of the spliceosome (involved in pre-mRNA splicing). Lineage: Eukaryota; Metazoa; Chordata; Mammalia; Rodentia; Chinchillidae. The record is from Rfam by way of RNAcentral.
AUACUUACCUGGCAGGGGAGAUACUAUGAUCACGAAGGUGUUUUCCCUGGGGGAGGCUUAUCGACUGCACUCUGCAUGUGCUGACCCCUGUGAUUUCCUGAAAUGUGGGAAACUCGACUGCAGAAUUUGAGGUAGUGGGGGACUGUGUUCACACUUUCCCCUG